Molecule: ribosomal RNA, 433 nt
Filed under: Pseudomonas sp. PPBPH5
Lineage: Bacteria; Pseudomonadati; Pseudomonadota; Gammaproteobacteria; Pseudomonadales; Pseudomonadaceae
Description: bacterial SSU rRNA
Rfam family: Bacterial small subunit ribosomal RNA
Source: RNAcentral
GCUAAUGCAGCAAACGUGCUGAGGGAUAAUGUGGGGGAUCUUCGGACCUCANGCUAUCAGAUGAGCCUAGGUAGGAUUACUAGUUGGUGGGGUAAAGGCCUACCAGGGCNACGAUCCGUAACUGGUCUGAGAGGAUGAUCAGUCACACNGGAACUGANACACGGUCCAAACCCCUACGGGAGGCAGCGGUGGGGAAUAUUGGACAAUGGGCGAACNCCUGAUCCAGCCUGCCGCGUGUGUGAAGAAGGUCUUCGGAUUGUAAANCACUUUAAGUUGGGAGGAAGGGCAGUAAGUUAAUACCUUGCUGUUUUGACGUUACCAACAGAANAAGCACCGGCCACUUCGUGCCAGCAGCCGCGGUAAUACGAAGGGUGCAGCGUUCAUCGUAAUUACUGGGCGUCAAGCGCGCCUAGGUGGUUCAGCAGUCCCAUGU